RNAcentral lists this unclassified non-coding RNA (287 nucleotides) under Yersinia enterocolitica. Its description in RNAcentral is "partial 16S-23S rRNA intergenic spacer". The stretch from base 175 to 287 matches the Rfam family "Salmonella enterica Typhi npcRNA 44", at positions 1 to 78 of the family's 107-position model. Lineage: Bacteria; Pseudomonadati; Pseudomonadota; Gammaproteobacteria; Enterobacterales; Yersiniaceae. The record is from RNAcentral.
GUGUCCCCAAUCGUCUAGAGGCCUAGGACACUGCCCUUUCACGGCUGUAACAGGGGUUCGAAUCCCCUUGGGGACGCCACUCCGAUAAUGUGUGAAAGACAUUAUCAACCGGUUCUUUAUGAACUCAAAAAUAACUUAAAGAUGACUUUAACAAGUCGUGUUUAAGAUAUUGCUCUUUAACAAUCUGGAACAAGCUGAAAAUUGAAACAAUACAGCUGAAACUUAUCUCUCCGUAGAAGUACUGAGAUAAGGAUUAACCUGUAUUAGAGUCUCUCAAAUAAUCGCAA